CUUAUACAGAGUGGUGGAGGGACUGGCCCGAUGAAGCCCGGCAACCUGCGUUUGCAAGGUGCCAAAUCCUGAGGCAAGCCGAGAUAUGAG
RNAcentral lists this non-coding RNA (90 nucleotides) under human gut metagenome. Its description in RNAcentral is "SAM riboswitch (S box leader)". It matches the Rfam family "SAM riboswitch aptamer (S box leader)". Rfam says of the family: The SAM riboswitch is found upstream of a number of genes which code for proteins involved in methionine or cysteine biosynthesis in Gram-positive bacteria. The SAM riboswitch acts at the level of transcription termination control. The record is from RNAcentral.